This 236-nucleotide ribosomal RNA is filed under the name uncultured bacterium. Its description in RNAcentral is "partial 16S ribosomal RNA". It matches the Rfam family "Bacterial small subunit ribosomal RNA", at positions 15 to 244 of the family's 1533-position model. The record is from RNAcentral.
GAUCAUGGCUCAGGAUGAACGCUGGCGGCGUGCCUAACACAUGCAAGUCGAACGGACUUUUCAUGAAGCCUAGCGAUUGAAAAGUUAGUGGUGGACGGGUGAGUAACGCGUGGGUAACCUGCCUUGUACUGGGGGACAACAGUUGGAAACGACUGCUAAUACCGCAUAAGCGCACAGCUUCGCAUGAAGCAGUGUGAAAAACUCCGGUGGUACAAGAUGGACCCGCGUCUGAUUAG